GACAGAGGUGCCGAGCGUUAGGCGGAAUCACUGGGCUUAAAGCGUGUGUAGGCGGACCGUUAAGUACCUUGUGAAAUCCCACGGCUCACCCGUGGAACGGCUGGGUAUACUGGCGGUCUUGGGCCACCUAGGGGCAGAUGGAACAGACGGUGGAGCGGUGAAAUGCGUAGAUAUCGUCUGGAACGCCAAAGGUGAAAACAGUCUGCUGGGGGUGUGCCGACGCUGAGACACGAAAGCCAGGGGAGCGAACGGG
RNAcentral lists this ribosomal RNA (253 nucleotides) under uncultured bacterium. Its description in RNAcentral is "partial 16S ribosomal RNA". It matches the Rfam family "Bacterial small subunit ribosomal RNA", at positions 524 to 776 of the family's 1533-position model. The record is from RNAcentral.